UAAUUUGAUCAUCAUAGAAAUGUCAAAAUUACAUUAUAUAACACAAAUUUAAAUAUUAUUUAUUUUAAAAAUAAUUUUAUAUAUAUUUUUUAUUUUUAAAUUUAGUUUGCUAAUUAACACGUGCAGCGCACGUUUGUAGACUAGUAUCUCUAAAAAGAGAUAUUUGAUUGAUUUGUUACGCCACAUUACCAAUAUACAUGUUGCAUUUUAGAAUUUUUCCAAAAAAACACUCAGCAUGACAAGACCACUC
Molecule: long non-coding RNA, 250 nt
Filed under: Ananas comosus (pineapple)
Lineage: Eukaryota; Viridiplantae; Streptophyta; Magnoliopsida; Poales; Bromeliaceae
Description: long non-coding RNA (ACOM_LNC016694)
Source: RNAcentral